Long non-coding RNA from Dromaius novaehollandiae (emu), 5234 nucleotides. RefSeq lists it as uncharacterized. The transcript has 2 exons. Lineage: Eukaryota; Metazoa; Chordata; Aves; Casuariiformes; Dromaiidae. The record is from RefSeq and is a predicted model, not a curated record.
GACUGGCUUGAGGGCAGAGGUCAUGUGAAGAUUGAACAAAUAAAGGAAGCAGAACUAAGUGCAUAUCGCACACAGUUGAUGUGAGCCAAGUCCCGUAUGAGAGUAAAAACAGCUAGAGCCAAGGACACAUUGUCCUUGGCUCCAAGGUGUUAUCAAUGAUUAGUCCUGGGAACUUGCGGGUGAUGUAAUGCAGAAGUUGCUGGGUAAACCAAAUUGCUGUUACCAAUAAGGAGCUCAGCUUUUGCAAUAUGUAUGAGCCUGAUUAGUCCUAUACUAUAUAAAGAAAGACCACACCUAAUAAAGUUGAAGUACACUGAUCACUCAUAUUGAGCGUCUGGGUCUUCCCUCCGUCGGCUCCUCCCGUGCAAGUUUCCAACAAAUGGCGCCCGAACAGGGACCCUGCCGGUCAGGGACUCGGUGAUUAAAAACUCAGGAGUCGACAGAGUGCUAGAGACAGCUGGUCCUGCUGUGCUAAAGGCAACGAGACACAAAAGGGGGUCUACGUGCCAGAGUUACAGAGGAGGUGGAGAGGACACAAACAAAGGGGGUCCGUGCCCAGGACGAGACGGGGUCCUGCCAGAAAGUCUCGCCGCAGGUCUUGCAAAGGUUGCAACGGUAAGUGAGUAACCACGGAGCGACAAGCGGCUUAUUAUUUAUUAAGAUGCUUUUUAGAAAAGCGAGGUACUCAAGGAAUAGAAUGUCAUAAGGAACUCCCAGGGCUAUUAGCUUACGGAGUGGCUAAGGGGUGUUUUGUUAACCCAGAUACCGAACUCCCAGGGCUAUUAGCUUACGGAGUGGCUAAGGGGUGUUUUGUUAACCCAGAUACCGUGUUCGAACAAACUGAAUGGAAAAAAUUUGGGGACAAGUUGUUUGAUGAAGUAAUAAGUGACAACAAGACAGCAAAAAAGCUGAUGAAGCCGUGGAGGGCAGUUACUAAUGCUCUCGCACCUCAAAAAAAAAAAAAGUAGCUGCCGCCGCCGCGGAGUGUUUGGGAAGCCCCGAUGGGUUCAAGGAACCCCCGCAUGCAGAGGUGUCCCCAUACCCAUCGCCCCCCUCGAUCCGAACCUUUACUAUUGCCCAGGGAGGGUCUGGGAACACAGGCCUGCCAAAAGGAGCAACAUUGACCAUGCGGCUCUCUCUCUCCCCCCUCUCUCUCUCCCCCCCCCUCUUCCCCCCCCCUCUCCCCUCCCCUCUCUCUCCCCCCCUCUCUCUCCCCCCCCCCUUUUUCUCCUCUCCUCCUUCUCCUCUUCCUUUGGCCACAGUUAUCUGAGGACACCCAUCUCAGGCUAUCAAUGUGAAAUAAGUUUUUCUCUAUGAUAUUAAUGGUCAGAAACCACUAAUAAAAGCAGUUUGAAAAAAAAAUUCGGGAAUAAAGGGGGAACCAACCUGACAGAUGUUGGAUUAUAUUUGGGGGACAAAUAUAUUGUUGCCGGGGGACAUACGCAGCAUAAUGAAGUUAAUACUAACACAGCAUCAGCAGCUGCUGUUUAACGCGCAUUGGCACACAGUAUGCCAGGAAGCGGUAGCUGUUAUAAGGGCUCCAGGGGACCCGUUGUAUGGAGUAACCUUAGAUGAGUUGAUGGGGAUAGGCGCGUAUUUCCGCUUAGAAGCGCAGGCCCUGCUGGGACCAGAUAAAGCUAAAGAAUCAAUGAAACUAGCAAGGCGGGCGCUUGAUCAAUUAAAGGAGCCAGGGGGUAUCCCAUCUUAUAUGGGAAUAAAGCAGGGCCGGGAAGAGCCUUUCGGCUUGUUUAUUGACAGAGUAGCCAAUGCUAUACAAGCAGCAGGGGUACCAGAUUAUCUGAAAGGGACUAUCUUGAAACAAUGUGCAAUACAGAAUAGUAACCCUUCAACGCGUAGUAUUUUAGCCACACUCCCGGGAACAUGGACUAUUGAGGAGGGGCUAGAAAGAAUGGCGCAGGUACCUGUAGGACCGCAAGCUAUGCUAGUAGAGGCGGUGAAACAAUUAGGAGAGAGCAUGAGAGAGCAAGCACAGGCGUUGCGGGAUAAUAUGCAACAGAAUCAAAGACAGAUAUUCACUGCCCUUGCUCCUUUGCAAAAUCCCGGCGGAAAUACCCCCCCCGAUCGACGAUCGGCACGCUGCUACUGAUGCGGCGUUGCGGCACGCUGCUACCGAUGCGGCGUUGUUGGUCAUCUUCGCAGAGAAUGCCAAGCUAGUAGAGUAUGGUGUCCCAACUGCAAAAGCAACAAACAUGAUGGAGCGGCUUGUUGGAAGGCUGGCUCGGGAAACGCCCGGAGAAACGGGACGAGCCGCCCCGCGACGACACAAAAGGCGGCCUUCACCACAACAACUCAGCAACCCCCGCAGUUAACACAACCACCUCAGCCGGCGCCCAGCUCCACUCCGAACGGCAUGAAUCCCUUUGUCUUCGACCAGCCACCAGAGGGAGUCUCGGACUGGACUUGGCAACAGCAGUAGACGCCACCUUAUUGGAUACAAAGCCAACAAGAAUCCGGACGAAUGUCUACGGACCAGUAAUUAUUAAUCAUGAGCCAGUAGGUGCCUUACUGAUUGGAAGAUCGUCCGCUACAAUGAAAGGAUUACAAGUUUUGACAGGAUUGAUCGACAAGGACUAUUUCGGGGAAAUACAAAUUGUGGUUUCAGCAAUGUUUCCACCUAUGCACAUACCACAAGGAUCGAGAAUAGCCCAGCUUAUUCCGCUUCCCCACCUGACCGUAGGGGUAGCACCAGCGAAAGAGCAACCACGAGGCUAUGGUGCUUUUGGUUCCACUGGAAGUGCAGUAUUACUGACUGUCGGAAUGCAUCAAAGGCCCCGACAAACUGUGACUGUAAAGUAUAAAAAAGAAUCUAUACGCCUUAAUGCCUUAUUGGACACUGGAGCGGAUGUAUCAAUAAUUAGCACUAAGAUCUGGCCCCAGCAUUGGCCAACCCGAGAGACCAGCUCUACGGUAGCUGGAGUAGGCGGGGUCACCCUCGCCCGAAAAUCAUCGACGCUACAAUGGACUAUAGGGAACAAGGUGGUGAAUUGCUCCGUCUCCAUUUUACCCCUACCUGAAGGAGUGCAAGCAUUAAUAGGGCGCGAUAUCCUUGCCCAGAUGGGUAUGGUGCUUACCUCGGAACACCCUUUAUAGCACCGGCCAUUGCCUGGACUUUCCCAAUCCCACUCAGCUGGAGGACUGAUCAGCCUGUGUGGGUAGAGCAAUGGCCGCUUAAACGGGAAAGUCUCAUUCAAGCACAUGAACUAGUAAAGGAACAGUACAAACAAGGUCAUCUAAGACUAUCUACCAGCCCUUGGAAUACCCCAAUAUUUAUGAUCAAGAAAAAAUCCGGCAAAUACAGACUUUUACACGAUCUACGUGCUGUAAACAGACAGAUGCAUGACAUGGGUGCUUUACAACCGGGGUUACCCAACCCAGCAAUGAUCCCAGAAGGCUGGCACCUGCUAAUCGUAGAUUUAAAGGACUGUUUCUUUACCAUAGCCCUCCAUGAAGAUGAUAAACAGCGAUUUGCAUUUACACUCCCUGCUAUCAAUAGAGAGGGGCCAGACCAAAGAUUUGAAUGGACAGUACUACCGCAGGGUAUGCGAAACUCACCAACCCUCUGUCAACUCUAUGUCGAUGCGGCACUUCAACCGUUACGUCAACAGUGGCCAGAGACCAUGAUAUAUCACUACAUGGACGACAUAUUGCUGGCACAAAAAAAAAACAACCCCUUUUCUCCUGAACAAAAAUUUGAUCUAAUCACACAAUUAAAGAAAAAGGAACUUGUGGUGGCCCCGGAAAAGGUACAGGAAUCCAGCCCCUGGCAGUAUCUAGGUUGGCAUAUUUCGAAUGCCACCAUCAGACCACAGAAAUUGACAAUCAGGACUGACAUAAGAACACUCAAUGAUGCUCAAAAACUAUUAGGAGACCUCCAAUGGAUCCGUCCGGUGGUCGGCAUUCCUAAUGAACUUUUAAAUCUGCUACGCCCCUUGCUGAAGGGAACAGACCCAGCGGCUGCCGUCACGCUCACAGAGGAACAGCAACGGGUACUCCAGGAAAUUGCAUCGCUAAUUACUACGCGUGCUACGCACCGACGCCUGGAAAAUCAGCCACUUGAUCUUACUAUUUUAUGUGGCCCACAAUACCUAAUGGGAGCCAUUACACAACACAAAAUAAAAACGGGGGAAAAAAGAGGGUUGGCGGAACCCAUUGUACUAGAAUGGAUAGCACCACUGUUACAACCAAAACGAACUAUUCAAGAAAAAAUUUCAACACUGGCCGAACUACUUCCAUGAUCAGCGUUGGUCAAAUCUGACUGCAGCAAUCAAACAUAGAAGAAGUGAGAAUCGUCGAGGCAAGCGUGAAUUGAAAAAACUAGGUUCAGAUUGUGCUGAUGAUGUAGAAUUAUGGGGGCCUGCGGAAAGGUUUUUCGCCGCAGCUUUAGCUCCUAACAUUGCAGUUGCGCAUGCCAUGUCUAAUCUAAAUAAACUUGCUUGUUGGGCUGUUAAGCAAUCAAAUGUUACUACACAAAUUCUCUCUGAAAUGUCACAGGAUAUGGAUAGCCUGAGACAUGCAGUGUUGCAAAAUAGAGCAGCUAUAGACUUUCUGCUUUUAGCACAGGGACGCGGGUGUGAGGAUUUUGAAGGAAUGUGUUGUUUUAAUCUUUCUGAUCAUGGACAGUCAAUCCAUGAGCAAUUGAAAUGGCUAAAGGACCACACCCAGAGAAUCACCGUACAGUAUAAUUGGUUUGAUGAUCUGUUUAGAAAGAUGUUUGGUAAUGUGAGUACCUGGAUUUUGAGCUUGAUCAAAGAAGGGCUACGUAUUCUAUUCAUAAUUGUAUUAAUUUUAAUUGCUGUAAGAGUGAUUUUUGGCUGCUUAACACAAAAGCUUGAACAAUUAACUAAAAAGGUCUUUCUCGCACAAAAUAAAAACGGGGGAAUUGUGGAGGACUGGCUUGAGGGCAGAGGUCAUGUGAAGACUGAACAACUAAAGGAAGCAGAACUAAGUGCAUAUCGCACACAGUUGAUGUGAGCCAAGUCCCGUAUGAGAGUAAAAACAGCUAGAGCCAAGGACACAUUGUCCUUGGCUCCAAGGUGUUAUCAAUGAUUAGUCCUGGGAACUUGCGGGUGAUGUAAUGCAGAAGUUGCUGGGUAAACCAAAUUGCUGUUACCAAUAAGGAGCUCAGCUUUUGCAAUAUGUAUGAGCCUGAUUAGUCCUAUACUAUAUAAAGAAAGACCACACCUAAUAAAGUGGAAGUACACUGAUCACUCAUA